AUUCUGGCUGUUGAAGAAAGUCCUCUAACCAAAGGCAUUUCUAAUAGGAGCCGGGCUAGUCAGUAUAGCUGCUCUCUCAGGACUGAGCGCCCAACCUGGAGUUCUGAGAGGGGAAAACAGGACAGAACAAGAAAGCCCAAAGAGAUGGUACAACAUACCCUUUGCUCUUCUAAAGAAGCAUAAACCCUGCUUUCCUCUUGUGAUUGACAGAAUUCCACUAAAAUAAUGUAGUCUGGGUUUUUAUAUGAAAAUAAUUCUCUGAGAAAUGUGUGCCUUUGCCUUAUCCAAAGCACCCAGUGCACAAGACCUAACUGAAAUCACGGUUUCCAGUUGACAUCUUCAUGAGUGUGUAGUGGAGCCUGUCACGUGUUGGGGAUUCAGCCUUCAGCCUUCUCCUCAUCCUCUGGCUUCCUGCCCUGACACUGCAUCUCACCCUGCUCUUCAGCCUUGCCUUGCCUUGCCUUGCCUUGCCAUGUUCCACCUCUUCAACCCUGUUACAGACUCUCACACCCAGGAGUUCUGCUCUGUCUCUAUUUAUUUUGUAUUUUUACAAACUGUCAAGUAACUAUUUAUUUUUGGAGAUUAAGGUACUUAGUUUAAAUAAUACAUAAUUUCUUAUAUCAUCUAGCUAUUAUGGCAGACACAAUGAAAAGUAAGACAUAGCUCCUUCCUGCCAUCAAAGAGCUUGAACCCUUUAGAAACUGUGUCACAUGUGUGUCUAAUGUAAAUGUGUCACAUGUGUGUCUAAUGUAAAUGUGUUACAUGUGUGUCUAAUGUAAAUGUGUCACAUGUGUGUCUAAUGUAAAUGGAUCACUCAGGACAGGGCAGCUUGACUUCAGGAAAACAGGGUAGAUCUCGUGACCUCAGUGGCCAUGGAUUAUUCCUGGUAUAUCUUAGAUUAAUGGUCAGUUGAGUAGGUCACUCAUUAUAAGAAACAUUGAAAAGGAAAGCAGUAAUGACCAGUGUCCCUCACAUGUAUAGUUCUUAGUGAGAAAAACUCUUGCCUAAGAGGUGUUUUGUUUUGUUUUAUCUCAUGUGCUUCUAAACCUAGGAAUCAGUGGAUGUUGUAUUUACUAUGUGAAAUGUAUGUGAAAGUCUCCUGUGCAGCUUUCAAAGUCCUGUUCUGUUUUCUGAUUUCCUUGAUGAUCAGAAAACAGAAUUAUCAAUCUUGUCUUUUCUGCUGUGGUCUUUUGUAUUGAGAUUAACACUCAAAAAGAAAGGAGAGAUUUCUUGUUUCUGGCAGCUGCCCUGACAGGUCAGCACUGAUCCUACCCUGCUUGACCAGACUUGUUAAGGACUUUUUAUAAUACUAUUACAGCACUCCUUCUGUCUCCUCCUACC
Molecule: long non-coding RNA, 1341 nt
Filed under: Mus musculus (house mouse)
Lineage: Eukaryota; Metazoa; Chordata; Mammalia; Rodentia; Muridae
Description: long non-coding RNA chr4:44838653-44839994
Source: RNAcentral